GAGCUUGCUCCUUUGACGUUAGCGGCGGACGGGUGAGUAACACGUGGGCAACCUGCCUUAUAGAUUGGGAUAACUCCGGGAAACCGGGGCUAAUACCGAAUAAUCUUUUUCACCUCAUGGUGAAAUAUUGAAAGACGGUUUCGGCUGUCACUUUUGGAUGGGCCCGCGGCGCAUUAGCUAGUUGGUGAGGUAACGGCUCACCAAGGCGACGAUGCGUAGCCGACCUGAGAGGGUGAUCGGCCACACUGGGACUGAGACACGGCCCAGACUCCUACGGGAGGCAGCAGUGGGA
This 292-nucleotide ribosomal RNA is filed under the name Lysinibacillus sphaericus. RNAcentral's name for it is "partial 16S ribosomal RNA". It matches the Rfam family "Bacterial small subunit ribosomal RNA", at positions 76 to 358 of the family's 1533-position model. Lineage: Bacteria; Bacillati; Bacillota; Bacilli; Caryophanales; Bacillaceae. The record is from RNAcentral.